RNAcentral lists this ribosomal RNA (269 nucleotides) under uncultured prokaryote. Its description in RNAcentral is "partial 16S ribosomal RNA". It matches the Rfam family "Bacterial small subunit ribosomal RNA", at positions 524 to 792 of the family's 1533-position model. The record is from RNAcentral.
UACGUAGGUGGCGAGCGUUAUCCGGAAUUAUUGGGCGUAAAGAGCGCGCAGGUGGUUGAUUAAGUCUGAUGUGAAAGCCCACGGCUUAACCGUGGAGGGUCAUUGGAAACUGGUCGACUUGAGUGCAGAAGAGGGAAGUGGAAUUCCAUGUGUAGCGGUGAAAUGCGUAGAGAUAUGGAGGAACACCAGUGGCGAAGGCGGCUUUCUGGUCUACCCCUGACGCUGAGGAGCGAAAGCCAGGGGAGCAAACGGGAUUAGAUACCCCUGUA